UUUCUCUCCAGUAUCUAUAUAUCUAGGCCCAUUAAAGGCCUGUUCCAUGGAAACUAUGUGCUGUGCGUUGCUAGGCAGGAAAGACGGAGGGAAAUGACUGUGGUCGGACUGUGGUUGGAGAGAAAGAUGGAGAGAGCGAGAGAGAGAGCGAGAGACAUAAGAGAGAGAGAGAGAGACAUAGGAGAGAGAGAGAGAGAGACAUAGGAGAGAGAGAGACAUAGGAGAGAGAGAGAGAGACAUAGGAGAGAGAGAGAGAGAGACAUAGGAGAGAGAGAGAGAGAGAGAGAGACAUAGGAGAGAGAGAGAAAGAGAGAGAGAGACACAUAAGAGAGAGAGAGAGAGAGACAUAGGAGAGAGAGAGAGAGAGAGAGAGAGAGAGACAUAGGAGAGAGAGAGAAGAGAGAGACAAUAGAGACACAUAGGAGAGAGAGACAAUAGAGACACAUAGGAGAGAGAGAGAGAGAAGAGAGACACAUAGGAGAGAGAGGAGAGAGAGACAAUAGAGACACAUAGGAGAGAGAGGAGAGAGAGACAAUAGAGACACAUAGGAGAGAGAGGAGAGAGAGACAAUAGAGACACAUAGGAGAGAGAGGAGAGAGAGACAAUAGAGACACAUAGGAGAGAGAGGAGAGAGAGGAGAGAGACAUAGGAGAGAGAGGUAGAGAGAGGAGAGAGACAUAGGAGAGAGAGGUAGAGAGAGAGACACAGGAGAGAGAAGAGAGAGGACGAGGGCAGAUUAUGCUGCUUGUACUGUCUUAGAAAAAAUGGUUAAAAAAAGCUUUUUCAAUUGUCCCCAUAGGGUUCCAGGUAGAACCCUUUUGAAUUCCAUGUAGAACCCUCUGUGAUGUUCUAGAUAACACAUUUUUUUGCUAAGUGUAGCCUCAAAGCCGGCAGCAUGUUGUCCUUCUUCCUUUUUCUCUGCUGCUCUAAAAGUCUUUCUACCAUUUUCUCUUUAUAUGUCUCCCUCUCCUCCCACACUUUCCCUCCAUUUUCACCACUUCCUGUUAAAAAAGGAAGAAAAAAAACUCAGAGAAAGAGCCCCCUCCUCUCUCUCUCUUUGGUUCAGCGGGC
This 1071-nucleotide long non-coding RNA is filed under the name Salmo salar (Atlantic salmon). RNAcentral's name for it is "lncRNA (ENSSSAG00000118815.1)". The record is from RNAcentral. Lineage: Eukaryota; Metazoa; Chordata; Actinopteri; Salmoniformes; Salmonidae.